Long non-coding RNA from Rosa rugosa (rugosa rose), 1480 nucleotides. RefSeq lists it as uncharacterized. The record is from RefSeq and is a predicted model, not a curated record. NCBI's taxonomy places the organism in Eukaryota, Viridiplantae, Streptophyta, Magnoliopsida, Rosales, Rosaceae. The transcript is spliced from 9 exons.
AAAAUCGCACCAACGUACAUGUACAGCUCACACUGAGGCUUCAUUUAGAAUGGCCUUGGAGUUGCAAAGCUGAUGGGAUGCUAAUAUGAUAAGCUGUCUAUGUCAUAACCUAAAGUUCUCAGUUCAUGUGUGUUUGUGGCACAUAUAUGGCUCUGUAAGACUGUGACUGUGAGACUGAGUUAAGGAUCAUAGAUUGCUUUAACUUUUUGGUUAUUUGGGUGCACCUAGGUUGGACUGUUGGAGCAAUGCAUCUGAGGCACCAAUCAGACCUACAUUUGACAAGCUGUGGGGUGGCCAUGAUAGAUGAAAGAAGGAGGAUUGGGCAAGUACUCAUGCAUCCAAUAUUUGAUUGGGAGCCCAGCCCAGGUCUCCGUUCCCUAUUCCUUUUUGCUGAUACGAAUUUGCCUGUAUGCUGAUCUCUACUUGUGCAGAGAGGAUAAUCAAGGUGCAGUCAAACCACCAUUCCUUGCGGUAGAAUGUCAAGCAACAAUAUUACAACAUGCAAUUACAAACUUAUUUUGUAUCACCUAUUUGACUGAUGGAUGAGGCAGGCUAUCUUACCUAAACUAGAUUGCUUUUAACCUUUUGGUUAAUUCGAUGUAUUAUGGAUGGAGCCUAGCCAAGCAGCUGAGGCAUCUCUUCGAGUGUCUCAACUUUAUUAGGAAGCUGUGCAUGGUUUUGAGGUGUGAGGUGUGACUAUGAGCCAUCAUAGAAGAUUGUUCAACUUGGGAUUGUUUCUUUGGUCUACCUAGGUUGUGCCUGUGUCUUUACUGCUGAUUAUAACUUAUAUCUUCAUAUACUGUUAAUAAUAUUCCGCUUCCUCUGACGCAAGUUGUUUAGAAUUUAUUAUUUUCUUUUGAUUCAGGUUACUAAGUCCUCUGAUUUUGUAUCUAAUGUAGAAGAAAAUCGUACCAAGAUACAUGUAAAGCUAAUAUUUACCGAUGCUGGAAGCAUUUAGAAUCGCCUUGGAGUUGAGAGCCUGAUCGAAUUGUACUUUGGUGGAGGAUGGGAAUAAUGAUCUGCCAAUAUCUGAUAGUAAUCCCAGCUCGACCAACUUCCAAACACAGAGGAUAAGCACUACAUCUUCCUUCAUCAACAGAAUCUUCCCUGUAGUUUGUCCGCCAAACAAAGACAGCACGAGCUGAAAUGAGUGAACUGUUGACUAGCUUGUUGUCAAAGACGGAUACAUUAACUGCCACCGUACCAGUGACUGUUCCAGGAAUGAAGCUAUUAGCUAGGCAGCUCAUGGCUUCCUCACAUACUGAACUGAACUCCCUAUCAGCUUUAAUUACUUCUGCGGCUUGAUUUCUUAAACAUACAGGAAAUGAUGAUUCUCGGUCAUGUAUAGAGCUGAAAGGAUUCUGGACUUCUCAAGGACAAGAUGAUCCUCACCUCCUCAGGUUAUACAAUUCUUCUAUUUACAUAAUUUGGCAUAUAGUGUAGAUGCUACUACAUUGAAACUUGAAGCAUUAAGAAUGAC